Neopsephotus bourkii (Bourke's parrot) is the source of this 558-nucleotide long non-coding RNA. RefSeq lists it as uncharacterized. NCBI's taxonomy places the organism in Eukaryota, Metazoa, Chordata, Aves, Psittaciformes, Psittacidae. The record is from RefSeq and is a predicted model, not a curated record. The transcript is spliced from 2 exons.
CGCAGGAGAGAUGCGUCCUCGCCUUGUCCUCUCGGCUCCCAAAUGCAUUUGUAUGCAUUUGCCCGGUCAGCGGAGAUCCGAGGGAAAGCUGGAGCCGAGCGCCGCGCCACCGCCGAGGCUCCAACCUUCUUCUAGUCAUCCAGAUCCUCCACAGGCAGAUGGGCACUGCACCAUGGGACCUCCAGGAAAUACAGGGGUGAAACCUGCAAUGUCUGUCCUGGACACAAGUGCAUUGCUGCUUUUUGGAAGACUCACAACCUGCAUGAAUUGUAAGGGCAAGGCAAGAGAUACCAAGCUGGCACAAUAGCCUUGCGCACUGCCAGAUUUUAGCCAUUUUCUUUGAAGCAGGCAAUGCCAAACCUUACCUCAGUCUCCAUUUUCAAACACAGGCACAAAAAUAUACUUUUUACCUCCCUUCAGAAACUACUGGAGCUGUUAAACCUUGUCUGAAACCAUCCAGGUGAAACGGAUGUUCACACAGACUAAAAUGUAGACAUCUCUGAAACAAAUGAGGAAAAAAAGUCCAUUAAAAUUCUAUACUUUGUUCUUUUUCCAUUU